Molecule: ribosomal RNA, 253 nt
Filed under: uncultured bacterium
Lineage: Bacteria
Description: partial 16S ribosomal RNA
Rfam family: Bacterial small subunit ribosomal RNA
Source: RNAcentral
UACGUAGGGGGCAAGCGUUGUCCGGAUUUAUUGGGCGUAAAGAGCGUGUAGGCGGCCUGACAGGUCUGCUGUGAAAACUCGAGGCUCAACCUCGAGAUGUCGGCGGAAACCGUCUGGCUAGAGUCCGGAAGAGGAGAGUGGAAUUCCUGGUGUAGCGGUGAAAUGCGCAGAUAUCAGGAAGAACACCUAUGGCGAAGGCAGCUCGCUGGGACGGUACUGACGCUGAGACGCGAAAGCGUGGGGAGCAAACAGG